This 417-nucleotide ribosomal RNA is filed under the name uncultured bacterium. Its description in RNAcentral is "bacterial SSU rRNA". It matches the Rfam family "Bacterial small subunit ribosomal RNA", at positions 8 to 451 of the family's 1533-position model. The record is from RNAcentral.
AGAGUUUGAUCCUGGCUCAGAGCGAACGCUGGCGGCAGGCUUAACACAUGCAAGUCGAACGGGCGUAGCAAUACGUCAGUGGCAGACGGGUGAGUAACGCGUGGGAACGUACCUUUUGGUUCGGAACAACUGAGGGAAACUUCAGCUAAUACCGAAUAAGCCCUUACGGGGAAAGAUUUAUCGCCGAAAGAUCGGCCCGCGUCUGAUUAGCUUGUUGGUGAGGUAACGGCUCACCAAGGCGACGAUCAGUAGCUGGUCUGAGAGGAUGAUCAGCCACAUUGGGACUGAGACACGGCCCAAACUCCUACGGGAGGCAGCAGUGGGGAAUAUUGGACAAUGGGCGAAAGCCUGAUCCAGCCAUGCCGCUUAAAUGAUGAAGGCCCUAGGGUUGUAAAGCUCUUUUGUGCGGGAAGAUAA